This 2898-nucleotide ribosomal RNA is filed under the name human oral metagenome. Its description in RNAcentral is "bacterial LSU rRNA". It matches the Rfam family "Bacterial large subunit ribosomal RNA". The record is from RNAcentral.
AAAAGUAAAAGAAGGGCAGACGGUGGAUGCCUUGGCUCUCGGAGGCGACGAAGGACGUGAUAAGCUGCGAAAAGCCCGGUUGAGGUGCAAAUAACCCUUGACGCCGGGAUAUCCGAAUGGGGAAACCCGAUUGGUAGAAAACCAAUCACAUCGAAAGAUGGGCGAACGUGGGGAACUGAAACAUCUAAGUACCCAUAGGAAGAGAAAAUAACAAUGAUUGCGUAAGUAGUGGCGAGCGAACGCGCAAGAGCCCAAACCAUAGAUGUUUUGGCAUCAUAUGGGGUUGUAGGAUCGCAAUGUGGCAAGAAGCAAAGGAAGUGGAACCCGCUGGAAAGAGGGCCAUAGAGGGUGAAAGUCCCGUACACGAAUCUUUUGUGAAGCCUAGCGAUAUCCUGAGUAAGUCGGGACACGUGAAAUCCUGACCGAAUCUGCGGGGACCAUCCCGUAAGGCUAAAUACUCCCGAGAGACCGAUAGCGAACCAGUACCGUGAGGGAAAGGUGAAAAGAACCUCGAAUAGAGGAGUGAAAUAGACCCUGAACCCGUCUGCCUACAAGCGGUCGGAGCACCUUUAAGGUGUGACGGCGUGCCUUUUGCAUAAUGAACCUGCGAGUUGUUUUUUUUGGCAAGGUUAAGCAUCAGUAGGUGCGCAGCCGAAGCGAAAGCGAGUCUGAAUAGGGCGACUAAGUCAAAAGGAGCAGACGCGAAACCAAGUGAUCUACCGAUGGCCAGGCUGAAGGUUGGGUAACACCAACUGGAGGGCCGAAUGGAUAUACGUUGAAAAGUGUUCCAAUGAGCUGUGGGUAGGGGUGAAAGGCUAAUCAAACUUGGAGAUAGCUCGUACUCCCCGAAAUGCAUUUAGGUGCAGCCUCGGGUAAGGUACUGAUGAGAGGUAGAGCGACUGAUUGGAUGCGAGGGCUUCACCGCCUAUCAAGUCCGGCCAAACUCCGAAUGCUCAUCAGCAACAUCCCGGGAGUGAGGGCAUGGGUGCUAAGGUCCAUGUCCGAAAGGAGAAGAAUCCAGAUCACCGGCUAAGGUCCCCAAAUAGCAGCUAAGUUGCAUUAACGAAGUCCGACCGCAGCGACAGCCAGGAUGUUGGCUUGGAAGCAGCCAUUCAUUUAAAGAGUGCGUAACAGCUCACUGGUCGAGGGUCCGGGCGUGGAUAAUAAUCGGGUAUAAGGCAGACACCGAAGACGCGGGAUAGCAUUAAAAAAAGUAUCGGUAGGGGAGCAUUCCAUCGGCGUCGAAUGCGGUGAGGCGAUCACCGCUGGAGCCCAUGGAAAAGCAAAUGUAGGUAUAAGUAACGAUAAGGAGGGUAAGAUUCCCUCCCGCCGUAAGACUAAGGUUUCCCGGGCAAUGCCAAUCAUCCCGGGGUCAGUCGGGUCCUAAGGCUCAGCCGAACGGCGAGGCCGAUGGCAGAAAGGGUCAACAUUCCCUUACUGCCGCACGGAGCGACGCGGAGACGGAGGCGUGACACCACCGCGGAGAUACGGAAUUCUCCGUUGAAGAGCGUAGACGUUGAGGGCGGCAGGCAAAUCCACCGCCCGAGUCGAACCUCGAAAGUAUGCCUUUCCCUUCGGGGCGAGGCAAUAGCGUGGGUAACCAUACUCCCGAGAAAAUCCGCUAAGCUCAAUCCGUGCGGCACCCGUACCGCAAACGGACACACGUAGUCGGGUAGAACAUACUGAGGCGUUGAGAGAUUCAUGGUUAAGGAACUAGGCAAACUGACCCCGUAACUUCGGGAUAAGGGGUCCUCGUCGCAAGGCGAGGCGCAGAGAAUAGGUCCAGGCAACUGUUUAACAAAAACACAGGGCUGUGCCAACUCGAAAGAUGACGUAUACAGCCUGACACCUGCCCGGUGCCGGAAGGUUAAGAGGAGAGCUCAGAGGCAACUCGAAGGUUUGAAUUGAAGCCCCGGUAAACGGCGGCCGUAACUAUAACGGUCCUAAGGUAGCGAAAUUCCUUGUCGGGUAAGUUCCGACCUGCACGAAUGGUGUAAUGAUCCGGACGCUGUCUCAACCAUGAUCUCAGUGAAAUUGUAGUAUCGGUGAAGAUGCCGAUUACCCGCGAUGGGACGAAAAGACCCCGUGAACCUUUACUGCAGCUUAGCAUUGACCUUGGUCAUCCGAUGUGUAGGAUAGGCCGGAGGCUUCGAAGCGGGGGCGCCAGCCCUUGUGGAGCCACCCUUGAAAUACGGCCCUUUGGCUGUCCGAGGUCUAACCCGCUUGUUGCGGGGACACUGCUUGGUGGGCAGUUUGACUGGGGUGGUCGCCUCCAAAAGCGUAACGGAGGCUUCCAAAGGUACCCUCAGGCCGAUUGGUAACCGGCCCAUUAGAGUGCAAUGGCAUAAGGGUGCUUGACUGGGAGGCAGACAUGCCGAGCAGGCAGGAAACUGGGGCAUAGUGAUCCGGUGCAAGUGUAUGGAAACUGCAUCGCUCAAAGGAUAAAAGGUACUCCGGGGAUAACAGGCUGAUCCCCCCCAAGAGCUCAUAUCGACGGGGUGGUUUGGCACCUCGAUGUCGGCUCGUCACAUCCUGGGGCUGGAGAAGGUCCCAAGGGUUGGGCUGUUCGCCCAUUAAAGUGGCACGCGAGCUGGGUUCAGAACGUCGUGAGACAGUUCGGUCUCUAUCUAUCGUGGGCGUUGGAGUUUUGCGUGGCCCUGUCACUAGUACGAGAGGACCGUGAUGGACAGACCUCCGGUUUACCGGUUGUGCCGCCAGGUGCACCGCCGGGUAUCUGAGUCUGGAUCGGAUAAGCGCUGAAAGCAUCUAAGUGCGAAGCCGGCCGCAAGAUUAGAACUCCUCAUGAGGGUCGUCCCAGACGAGGACGUCGAUAGGGCGCAGGUGUAAAGGCGGCGACGCCAAAGCCGAGCGCUACUAAUUGCCCGAAACUUUCUUACC